Molecule: long non-coding RNA, 1101 nt
Filed under: Accipiter nisus (Eurasian sparrowhawk)
Lineage: Eukaryota; Metazoa; Chordata; Aves; Accipitriformes; Accipitridae
Description: lncRNA (ENSANIG00000013911.1)
Source: RNAcentral
AUGACUCCUGCCGAAUGGCCCAUCACCACCUCGCAGCUCACUCCCAUGACCGAGCAAGAACAUGUGCUUAUAGUCCUGAGCCUCCCCCGUACCCUUGUCCCCCCCGUGCUCCUGACUGACCAAGACACCCAGUGCCCACAGCUUCCCCACGUCCCUGCAUGCAGCCCCAGGUGGCUGUGGUGUGGAUGCCAGCAGGGCCAGGCAGCGGCAGACCCAGACAUCCCGGUUGCGCAGAUGUGCCCUGCCACCGACUCCAUGCCUCCUGGCUGUUGCUGGACUCUGCGCACAGAGGACAGCCUGGGUGCUCAUGCCCUGGGGCUGCAGCCUGCUCAUACGGCUCACUGUCCCAAGCCCUGGGGUAGGCCCAGAGGAACAGAUCCCAAGGGGGGCUUAGACCUUCCAGUCCCUUCCCGGCAGCCACCCUUCAGAGCCAGGUUCCAGCCUCACGGAAUGGGGACCUCCAGCCCUGCCCUCUCUGUGCAGGCCCUGCUGUUCAGAGCAUCCCUCCCGUGCCAGGGCCUGCUUCCCCCCGCAAAGAUCCGCUCCCUGGUGGGGGUGCUGGGCAGGACCCCUGCCCCUCCCCAGCUGGCCCCCAGCCUGGGCUCCUCAGCCGAGUCCUGCACAGGACCCCUACCCCAGCCUGGGACCCCCGGCCCUACGUGGACCCCUGCACCCCCAGCCCGGGACCCCUACGUGGACCCUGGGCCCAGGGCAGCAGCCGCGGCCGCGUCUGCCGCCCGGGCCGUCCCACCGGGCUGCAGUGUCCAGGGCUGCCGAGGAAAUGGCUCUGCGACAUUCUGGGAGGCGGCCGGGAGAGGGACGGGGAAGAUCGGGGCGGGGCGGGGCAGAGCGGAGCAGCACGGCCCGGACCACGCCGGGAGGCGGCCGGUGCCGUACGGGGCAGCCUCUCCGGGCCUCCGGCAAGGGGCCUUCCCCGCCGGGCCCGUGACCGGAGCGCGGCCCGGGCCUGGCGGCGCGGCCCCGCUGUGCGAAACGCCGGGGAGGAUCGGCUGCCACCGGUCCCGGCACUCCGGGUCCCGGCGCAGCGCUCUCGGCCACAGCCCGCGGCCCCGGGGGCACCCAGGCGCCCGGCGGCUCUAG